UACGGAGGGGGCUAGCGUUGUUCGGAAUUACUGGGCGUAAAGCGCACGUAGGCGGAACAGAAAGUCAGAGGUGAAAUCCCAGGGCUCAACCUUGGAACUGCCUUUGAAACUCCUGUUCUUGAGGUCGAGAGAGGGGAGUGGAAUUCCGAGUGUAGAGGUGAAAUUCGUAGAUAUUCGUAGGAACACCAGUGGCGAAGGCGGCUCACUGGCUCGAUACUGACGCUGAGGUGCGAAAGCGUGGGGAGCAAACAGG
This 253-nucleotide ribosomal RNA is filed under the name uncultured bacterium. RNAcentral describes it as "partial 16S ribosomal RNA". It matches the Rfam family "Bacterial small subunit ribosomal RNA", at positions 524 to 776 of the family's 1533-position model. The record is from RNAcentral.